This is a long non-coding RNA of Papaver somniferum (opium poppy), 387 nucleotides long. RefSeq lists it as uncharacterized. The transcript has 2 exons. NCBI's taxonomy places the organism in Eukaryota, Viridiplantae, Streptophyta, Magnoliopsida, Ranunculales, Papaveraceae. The record is from RefSeq and is a predicted model, not a curated record.
UCUCCGCCGCUGCGGGAUGUUUCUAUGACUAAAUAGAGUGGUCGUGAUGGAAAAUAAUGGCACAUAAAGAACUUACUGACUUGUCGUUCUUCACUAUAUGAAGAGAGAAAUGCAACUGAGCUAGAUAGUAAUGCACGUGCCCUGCUUCUCCAUCUUGCGCUGCACUCAUCUUUCUACGCUGAUAUCGAAUUCAAGAGAAAGUGGAAGAAUUGAGGAAGAUGAAAACUAUGAGAUCCAGUAUUGUUAGAGAAAAUUGUGCGUGAAAAACAUGUAACAACACAGUGGUCUUAUAAUUUAUAUGCUUAUUCUUUCUGCAUCAAUCUAAACAGAAGUUGUAAAAUUUUUACGAGAAAUACGAUUAACCCUGUAAAAGUUUGAUUCCUUUCA